RNAcentral lists this ribosomal RNA (815 nucleotides) under uncultured bacterium. RNAcentral's name for it is "bacterial SSU rRNA". It matches the Rfam family "Bacterial small subunit ribosomal RNA", at positions 8 to 810 of the family's 1533-position model. The record is from RNAcentral.
AGAGUUUGAUUCAUGGCUUCAGGAUGAACGCUAGCGGCAGGCUUAAUACAUUGCAAGUCGAGGGGCAACAGGUUUGUAGCAAUACAAAUGCUGGCGACCGGCAAACGGGUGCGGAACACGUACACAACCUUCCUUUAAGUGGGGAAUAGCCCAGAGAAAUUUGGAUUAAUACCCCGUAACAUUAUGAUGUGGCAUCACAUUAUAAUUAUAGCUCCGGCGCUUAAUGAUGGGUGUGCGGCUGAUUAGGUAGUUGGCGGGGUAACGGCCCACCAAGCCUGCGAUCAGUAACUGGUGUGAGAGCACGACCAGUCACACGGGCACUGAGACACGGGCCCGACUCCUACGGGAGGCAGCAGUAAGGAAUAUUGGGCAAUGGAGGCAACUCUGACCCAGCCAUGCCGCGUGGAGGAUGAAGGCCCUCUGGGUUGUAAACUUCUUUUAUUUGGGACGAAAAAGGGCUUUUCUAAGUCAACUGACGGUACCAGAUGAAUAAGCACCGGCUAACUCCGUGCCAGCAGCCGCGGUAAUACGGAGGGUGCAAGCGUUAUCCGGAUUCACUGGGUUUAAAGGGUGCGUAGGGUGGGUUGGUAAGUCAGUGGUGAAAUCCCCGAGCUUAACUUGGGAACUGCCAUUGAUACUAUCAGUCUUGAAUAUUGUGGAGGUCAGCGGAAUACGUCAUGUAGCGGUGAAAUGCUUAGAUAUGACAUAGAACACCAAUUGCGAAGGCAGCUGGCUACACAUAUAUUGACACUGAGGCACGAAAGCGUGGGGAUCAAACAGGAUUAGACACCCUGGUAGUCCACGCCCUAAACUAU